UUGCUCUUUGCCCGCGAGCGGGAGGGGGAUAACUACUGGAAACGGUAUCUAAUACCGCAUAACGUCACAAGACCAAAGAGGGGGACCUUCGGGCCUCUUGCCAUCAUAUGUGCCCAGAUGGGAUUAGCUAGUAGGUGGGGUAACGGCUCACCUAGGCGACUAUCCCUAUCUGGUCUGAGAGGAUGACCACCCACACUGGAACUGACACACGGUCCAGACUCCUACGGGAGGCAGCAGUGGGGAAUAUUGCACAGUGGGCGCAAGCCUGAUGCACCCAUGCCGCGUGUAUGAAAAAGGCCUUCGGGUUGUAAAGUACUUUCAGCGGGGAGGAAGGCGUUGAGGUUAAUAACCUCAGCGAUUGACGUUACCCGCAAAAGAAGCACCGGCUAACUCCGUGCCAGCAGCCGCGGUAAUACGGAGGGUGCAAGCGUUAAUCGGAAUUACUGGGCGUAAAGCGCACGCAGGCGGUCUGUCAAGUCAGAUGUGAAAUCCCCGGGCUCAACCUGGGAACUGCAUUCGAAACUGGCAGGCUAGAGUCUUGUAGAGGGGGGUAGAAUUCCGGGUGUAGCGGUGAAAUGCGUAGAGAUCUGGAAGAAUACCGGUGGCGAAGGCGGCCCCCUGGACAAAGACUGACGCUCAUGUGCGAAAGCGUGGGGAGCAAACGAGAUUAUAUACCCUGGUAGUCCACGCCGUACACGAUGUCGACUUGGAGGUUGUGCCCUUGACGCGUGUCUUCCGGAGCUAACGCGUUAACUCCACCGCCUGGAGAGUACGGCCGCAAGGUUAAAACUCAUAUGAAUUGACGGGGGCCCGCACAAGCGGGUGGAGCGUGUGGUUUUUAUUUCUAUGCCACGCGAAGAACUCUUUACCCUACUCUUGACAUCCAGAGAUCUUACCAGAGAUUGCUUUUGGUGCUCUUCGGGAACU
This 927-nucleotide ribosomal RNA is filed under the name Enterobacter hormaechei. Its description in RNAcentral is "bacterial SSU rRNA". It matches the Rfam family "Bacterial small subunit ribosomal RNA", at positions 112 to 1028 of the family's 1533-position model. Lineage: Bacteria; Pseudomonadati; Pseudomonadota; Gammaproteobacteria; Enterobacterales; Enterobacteriaceae. The record is from RNAcentral.